GCCUCUGUAGCUCAAUGGAAGAGCAAGUCCGUCCUAAGGAUUAGGUUGGGGGUUCGAGUCCCUCCAGGGGCACCC
This 75-nucleotide transfer RNA is filed under the name Subtercola boreus. Its description in RNAcentral is "tRNA-Arg". It matches the Rfam family "tRNA". Rfam says of the family: Transfer RNA (tRNA) molecules are approximately 80 nucleotides in length. Their secondary structure includes four short double-helical elements and three loops (D, anti-codon, and T loops). The record is from RNAcentral. Lineage: Bacteria; Bacillati; Actinomycetota; Actinomycetes; Micrococcales; Microbacteriaceae.